Molecule: transfer RNA, 72 nt
Organism: Camelus ferus (Wild Bactrian camel)
Lineage: Eukaryota; Metazoa; Chordata; Mammalia; Artiodactyla; Camelidae
Rfam family: tRNA
About the family: Transfer RNA (tRNA) molecules are approximately 80 nucleotides in length. Their secondary structure includes four short double-helical elements and three loops (D, anti-codon, and T loops). Further hydrogen bonds mediate the characteristic L-shaped molecular structure. tRNAs have two regions of fundamental functional importance: the anti-codon, which is responsible for specific mRNA codon recognition, and the 3' end, to which the tRNAs corresponding amino acid is attached (by aminoacyl-tRNA synthetases). tRNAs cope with the degeneracy of the genetic code in two manners: having more than one tRNA (with a specific anti-codon) for a particular amino acid; and 'wobble' base-pairing, i.e. permitting non-standard base-pairing at the 3rd anti-codon position.
Source: Rfam
GGGGGCAUAGCUCAUUGGUAGAGCACAUGCUUGGUGUGCAUGUGGUCCUGGGUUCAAUCUCCAGUGCCCCUG